UACGGGGGGGGCAAGCGUUGUUCGGAAUUACUGGGCGUAAAGGGCUCGUAGGCGGCCAACUAAGUCAGACGUGAAAUCCCUCGGCUUAACCGGGGAACUGCGUCUGAUACUGGUUGGCUUGGAUUUGGGAGAGGAAUGCGGAAUUCCAGGUGUAGCGGUGAAAUGCGUAGAUAUCUGGAGGAACACCGGUGGCGAAGGCGGCAUUCUGGACCAAUAUUGACGCUGAGGAGCGAAAGCCAGGGGAGCAAACGGG
This 253-nucleotide ribosomal RNA is filed under the name uncultured bacterium. RNAcentral's name for it is "partial 16S ribosomal RNA". It matches the Rfam family "Bacterial small subunit ribosomal RNA", at positions 524 to 776 of the family's 1533-position model. The record is from RNAcentral.